Myotis brandtii (Brandt's bat) is the source of this 522-nucleotide long non-coding RNA. RefSeq lists it as uncharacterized. Lineage: Eukaryota; Metazoa; Chordata; Mammalia; Chiroptera; Vespertilionidae. The transcript has 5 exons. The record is from RefSeq and is a predicted model, not a curated record.
CUUUGUAGUUUGCUGCUGUGGAUUCUUUCCAUCGGCUCCGAGUUCAUCUCCAAUUAAAGAAGCAAAUCCAUGACAUGACAUACCUGGAUUUCAUGCUUAGAACUUUGAAUUGGAAAAAGUGUUCUUUAUUUUCCACAUGAAUUUAAAGGAAGAUCAUUUCAAGGUUGCUCUGUGGACUCACUCAUUUAGCAAGUGUUUGCAGAGUGCCUGUUGUCUGCUAGGCACCAGAUGAAGACGAGCAGGGUUUCUGUCAUCAUGGAGCUUACUGCAACUAGAAGAGGAAAUACCAGGAGGCAAUAACAUGUGGAGAUUAAAAGUAAAGGCCUUAGACCCAGAUGGACCUGUGUUUGUGAUCCAGUCACAUCCCGUUCUCAUUGUAUGGCCUUGGGAAAAUUGCUUUAGAAUCCAUGGAAUGAAGCAUCCAGCCCUGUGUUGGGCCAAAUAUUCUAGUCCAGGAAGUAGCAAACUAUGGCUGUGGGACAAAUCUGGCCAGCCACCUGGUUUUGUAAAUAAAGUUUUAUU